GAGUUUGAUCUUGGCUCAGAUUGAACGCUGGCGGCAUGCUUUACACAUGCAAGUCGAACGGCAGCGCGGGCUUCGCCUGGCGGCGAGUGGCGAACGGGUGAGUAAUAUAUCGGAACGUACCCAGGGGUGGGGGAUAACGUAGCGAAAGUUACGCUAAUACCGCAUACGCUCUAUGGAGGAAAGCAGGGGACCGCAAGGCCUUGCGCGCUUGGAGCGGCCGAUAUCUGAUUAGCUAGUUGGUGGGGUAAAGGCUCACCAAGGCAACGAUCAGUAGCUGGUCUGAGAGGACGACCAGCCACACUGGGACUGAGACACGGCCCAGACUCCUACGGGAGGCAGCAGUGGGGAAUUUUGGACAAUGGGGGCAACCCUGAUCCAGCAAUGCCGCGUGAGUGAAGAAGGCCUUCGGUUGUAAG
RNAcentral lists this ribosomal RNA (416 nucleotides) under uncultured beta proteobacterium. RNAcentral's name for it is "bacterial SSU rRNA". It matches the Rfam family "Bacterial small subunit ribosomal RNA", at positions 9 to 429 of the family's 1533-position model. The record is from RNAcentral. Lineage: Bacteria; Pseudomonadati; Pseudomonadota; Betaproteobacteria.